AUUGAACGCUGGCGGCAUGCCUUACACAUGCAAGUCGAACGGCAGCGGGCCUUCGGGUGCCGGCGAGUGGCGAACGGGUGAGUAAUGCAUCGGAACGUGCCAUUGAGUGGGGGAUAACGUAGCGAAAGUUGCGCUAAUACCGCAUAUUCUGUGAGCAGGAAAGCAGGGGGACCGCAAGGCCUUGCGCUCUUUGAGCGGCCGAUGUCAGAUUAGCUAGUUGGUGAGGUAAAGGCUUACCAAGGCGACGAUCUGUAGCGGGUCUGAGAGGAUGAUCCGCCACACUGGAACUGAGACACGGUCCAGACUCCUACGGAGGCAGCAGUGGGGAAUUUUGGACAAUGGGCGCAAGCCUGAUCCAGCCAUGCCGCGUGAGUGAAGAAGGCCUUCGG
RNAcentral lists this ribosomal RNA (389 nucleotides) under uncultured bacterium. RNAcentral describes it as "bacterial SSU rRNA". It matches the Rfam family "Bacterial small subunit ribosomal RNA", at positions 30 to 421 of the family's 1533-position model. The record is from RNAcentral.